AUUUAGAGGAAGUAAAAGUCGUAACAAGGUUUCCGUAGGUGAACCUGCGGAAGGAUCAUUAAAGAGUUAGGGUCCUAGUGGCCCAACCUCCAACCCUCUGUUGUUAAAACUACCUUGUUGCUUUGGCGGGACCGUUCGGUCUCCGAGCGCGUUAACCUUCGGGUUGGCGAGCGCCCGCCAGAGUCCAACCAAACUCUUGUAUUAAACCAGUCGUCUGAGUAUAAAAUUUUAAUUAAAUUAAAACUUUCAACAACGGAUCUCUUGGUUCUCGCAUCGAUGAAGAACGCAGCGAAAUGCGAUAAGUAAUGUGAAUUGCAGAAUUCAGUGAAUCAUCGAAUCUUUGAACGCACAUUGCGCCCCUUGGUAUUCCGAGGGGCAUGCCUGUUCGAGCGUCAUUACACCACUCAAGCACUGCUUGGUAUUGGGCAUCGUCCGUCGAAAGGCGGGCGUGCCUCGAAGACCUCGGCGGGGUUUUUCCAACUUCGGGCGUAGUAGAGUUAAAUCAAAACGUCUUAUAAGCUUGGUGAGAUCUCAUUGCCGUUAAACCUUUUAUUUUUCAGGUUGACCUCGGAUCAGGUAGGGAUACCCGCUGAACUUAAGCAUAUCAAUAAGCGGAGGAAAAGAAACCAACAGGGAUUGCCCUAGUAACGGCGAGUGAAGCGGCAAUAGCUCAAAUUUGAAAGCUGGCCUUAUGGUCCGCAUUGUAAUUUGUAGAGGAUGCUUUUAGGCAGCCGCCGGUCUAAGUUCCUUGGAACAGGACGUCAUAGAGGGUGAGAAUCCCGUAUGUGACCGGCUCUGGCACCUUCUGUAAAGCUCCUUCGACGAGUCGAGUUGUUUGGGAAUGCAGCUCUAAAUGGGAGGUAAAUUUCUUCUAAAGCUAAAUACUGGCGAGAGACCGAUAGCGCACAAGUAGAGUGAUCGAAAGAUGAAAAGCACUUUGGAAAGAGAGUUAAAAAGCACGUGAAAUUGUUGAAAGGGAAGCGCUUGCAAUCAGACUUGGCUUCGGUUGUUCAACAGGUCUUCUGACCUGCCUAUUCAAUCGUUGCCAGGCCAGCAUCAGUUUCGGCGGCCGGAUAAAGGCCCUGGGAAUGUGGCUGUUCCUUCGGGGACAGUGUUAUAGCCCAGGGUGUAAUACGGCCAGCUGGGACUGAGGUCCGCGCUUCGGCUAGGAUGCUGGCGUAAUGGUUGUAAGCGGCCCGUCUUGAAA
RNAcentral lists this ribosomal RNA (1207 nucleotides) under uncultured fungus. RNAcentral describes it as "eukaryotic LSU rRNA". The stretch from base 563 to 1207 matches the Rfam family "Eukaryotic large subunit ribosomal RNA", at positions 1 to 659 of the family's 3401-position model. The record is from RNAcentral. Lineage: Eukaryota; Fungi.